UACGUAGGGGGCAAGCGUUAUCCGGAAUUAUUGGGCGUAAAGAGCUCGUAGGCGGUUUGUCGCGUCUGCUGUGAAAACUGGGGGCUCAACCCCCAGCCUGCAGUGGGUACGGGCAGACUAGAGUGCGGUAGGGGAGAUUGGAAUUCCUGGUGUAGCGGUGGAAUGCGCAGAUAUCAGGAGGAACACCGAUGGCGAAGGCAGAUCUCUGGGCCGUAACUGACGCUGAGGAGCGAAAGCGUGGGGAGCGAACAGG
RNAcentral lists this ribosomal RNA (253 nucleotides) under uncultured bacterium. RNAcentral describes it as "partial 16S ribosomal RNA". It matches the Rfam family "Bacterial small subunit ribosomal RNA", at positions 524 to 776 of the family's 1533-position model. The record is from RNAcentral.